This 466-nucleotide ribosomal RNA is filed under the name uncultured bacterium. RNAcentral describes it as "partial 16S ribosomal RNA". It matches the Rfam family "Bacterial small subunit ribosomal RNA", at positions 28 to 507 of the family's 1533-position model. The record is from RNAcentral.
GAUGAACGCUGGCGGCGUGCUUAACACAUGCAAGUCGAACGGAAAGGCUCCUGCUUGCAGGGGUACUCGAGUGGCGAACGGGUGAGUAACACGUGGGUGAGCUGCCCUGCACUUCGGGAUAAGCCUGGGAAACUGGGUCUAAUACCGGAUAGGACGAUGGUUUGUAUGCUAUUGUGGAAAGGUUUUUCGGAGUGGGAUGAGCUCGCGGCCUAUCAGCUUGUUGGCGGGGUAAUGGCCUACCAAGGCGUCGACGGGUAGCCGGCCUGAGAGGGUGUACGGCCACAUUGGGACUGAGAUACGGCCCAGACUACUACGGGAGGCAGCAGUGGGGAAUAUUGCACAAUGGGCGCAAGCAUGAUGCAGCGACGCCGCGUGGGGGAUGACGGCCUUCGGGUUGUAAACUCCUUUCGCUAGGGACGAAGCGCAAGUGACGGUACCUGGAGAAGAAGCACCGGCUAACUACGUG